Oncorhynchus tshawytscha (Chinook salmon) is the source of this 515-nucleotide long non-coding RNA. NCBI's taxonomy places the organism in Eukaryota, Metazoa, Chordata, Actinopteri, Salmoniformes, Salmonidae. The record is from Ensembl.
GGGUUAGGGUUAUGGCUUAUAGCAGGGUUAAGGUUAGGGCUUAUAGCAGGGUUAGGGUUAUGGCUUAUAGCAGGGUUAAGGUUAGGGUGUAUAGCAGGGUUAGGGUUAUGGCUUAUAGCAGGGUUAAGGUUAGGGCUUAUAGCAGGGUAAGGGCUAGGGCUUAUAGCAGGGUAAAGGGCUUAUAGCAGGGUAAGGGUUUAGAUUUAUAGCAGGGAAAGGGUUUAGGUUUAUAGCAGGGUUAGGGUUAGGGCUUAUAGCAGGGUUAGGGUUAAGGCUUAUAGCAGGGUUAGGGUUAGGGCUUAUAGCAGGGUUAGGGUUAGGGCUUAUAGCAGGGUUAGGGUUAGGGCUUUAUAGCAGGGUUAGGGCUUAUAGCAGGGUUAGGGUUUAGGUUUAUAGCAGGGUAAGGGUUUAGGUUUAUAGCAGGGUUAAGGUUAUGGUUUAUAGCAGGGUUAGGGUUUAGGUUUAUAGCAGGGUUAUGGCUUAUAGCAGGGUUAGGUUUGGGGAUUAUAGCAGGG